Molecule: long non-coding RNA, 359 nt
Organism: Betta splendens (Siamese fighting fish)
Lineage: Eukaryota; Metazoa; Chordata; Actinopteri; Anabantiformes; Osphronemidae
Exons: 2
Source: RefSeq, a predicted model, not a curated record
CAGAUGCGAUGCUCAGAUGUGGAUGUGAUUUAUAGUUCUGUGGUUACUAAAAAGUAGCAGGCUGUAAAACAGGUUGUGCAUGCGAGCGCCUGGUGGCCAGGCCUGUUCCCACAGGACCUGACCAGGCACCGUCUGACAUGGGAUCGUCCUCAUGUGGACACACCACCCACAGAAGGACAAGGAGCCGGUGCUAAGAAGAUUGGGCAGUGGUCGACCUCUGGUUUUGUCUGGGAUUUGCAGCAUCACUACAGUUCAUGAGGCAUCAGUGAAAGCUGGGGAUUCUAUCACUAUUCAGUGACUAUCAAUGCCUGACAACAAAACCUAAUUAUUUUGUAAAAUAAAUUUCUUCAAUCUGAUCU